This 995-nucleotide ribosomal RNA is filed under the name Lysinibacillus fusiformis. RNAcentral describes it as "bacterial SSU rRNA". It matches the Rfam family "Bacterial small subunit ribosomal RNA", at positions 56 to 1027 of the family's 1533-position model. The record is from RNAcentral. Lineage: Bacteria; Bacillati; Bacillota; Bacilli; Caryophanales; Bacillaceae.
UGCAAGUCGAGCGAACAGAGAAGGAGCUUGCUCCUUCGACGUUAGCGGCGGACGGGUGAGUAACACGUGGGCAACCUACCUUAUAGUUUGGGAUAACUCCGGGAAACCGGGGCUAAUACCGAAUAACCUAUUUCACCUCAUGGUGAAAUACUAAAAGACGGUUUCGGCUGUCGCUAUAGGAUGGGCCCGCGGCGCAUUAGCUAGUUGGUGAGGUAACGGCUCACCAAGGCGACGAUGCGUAGCCGACCUGAGAGGGUGAUCGGCCACACUGGGACUGAGACACGGCCCAGACUCCUACGGGAGGCAGCAGUAGGGAAUCUUCCACAAUGGGCGAAAGCCUGAUGGAGCAACGCCGCGUGAGUGAAGAAGGAUUUCGGUUCGUAAAACUCUGUUGUAAGGGAAGAACAAGUACAGUAGUAACUGGCUGUACCUUGACGGUACCUUAUUAGAAAGCCACGGCUAACUACGUGCCAGCAGCCGCGGUAAUACGUAGGUGGCAAGCGUUGUCCGGAAUUAUUGGGCGUAAAGCGCGCGCAGGUGGUUUCUUAAGUCUGAUGUGAAAGCCCACGGCUCAACCGUGGAGGGUCAUUGGAAACUGGGAGACUUGAGUGCAGAAGAGGAUAGUGGAAUUCCAAGUGUAGCGGUGAAAUGCGUAGAGAUUUGGAGGAACACCAGUGGCGAAGGCGACUAUCUGGUCUGUAACUGACACUGAGGCGCGAAAGCGUGGGGAGCAAACAGGAUUAGAUACCCUGGUAGUCCACGCCGUAAACGAUGAGUGCUAAGUGUUAGGGGGUUUCCGCCCCUUAGUGCUGCAGCUAACGCAUUAAGCACUCCGCCUGGGGAGUACGGUCGCAAGACUGAAACUCAAAGGAAUUGACGGGGGGCCCGCACAAGCGGUGGAGCAUGUGGUUUUAAUUCGAAGCAACGCGAAGAAACCUUACCAGGUCUUGACAUCCCGUUGACCACUGUAGAGAUAUAGUUUCCCCUUCGGGGGC